UACGUAGGGCGCAAGCGUUGUCCGGAAUUAUUGGGCGUAAAGAGCUCGUAGGCGGCUUGUCACGUCGGAUGUGAAAGCCCGGGGCUUAACCCCGGGUCUGCAUUCGAUACGGGCAGGCUAGAGUUCGGUAGGGGAGAUCGGAAUUCCUGGUGUAGCGGUGAAAUGCGCAGAUAUCAGGAGGAACACCGGUGGCGAAGGCGGAUCUCUGGGCCGAUACUGACGCUGAGGCGCGAAAGCGUGGGGAGCAAAUAGG
RNAcentral lists this ribosomal RNA (253 nucleotides) under uncultured bacterium. RNAcentral's name for it is "partial 16S ribosomal RNA". It matches the Rfam family "Bacterial small subunit ribosomal RNA", at positions 524 to 776 of the family's 1533-position model. The record is from RNAcentral.